RNAcentral lists this ribosomal RNA (569 nucleotides) under uncultured bacterium. RNAcentral's name for it is "partial 16S ribosomal RNA". It matches the Rfam family "Bacterial small subunit ribosomal RNA", at positions 355 to 925 of the family's 1533-position model. The record is from RNAcentral.
UAAGGAAUAUUGCUCAAUGGGAGAAAUCCUGAAGCAGCAACGCCGCGUGGAGGAUGAAGGGUUUUUAACUUGUAAACUCCUGUAAAGAAGGAAAAAAUUCCCAUUAGAUGGGAAAUGAUGGUACUUCUGGAGUAAGCCCCGGCUAACUACGUGCCAGCAGCCGCGGUAAUACGUAGGGGGCAAGCGUUGUCCGGAUUUACUGGGUGUAAAGGGUGCUCAGGCGGAUUUGUAAGUCAGAGGUGAAAUCUCACAGCUUAACUGUGAAACUGCCUUUGAUACUGCAAGCCUAGAGUAUGGAAGAGAGUGAUGGAAUAUCUGGUGUAGCAGUGAAAUGCGUAGAUAUCAGAUAGAACACCAAUGGCGAAGGCAGUCACUUGGUCCAUAACUGACGCUAAAGCACGAAAGCGUGGGUAGCAAACAGGAUUAGAUACCCUGGUAGUCCACGCCCUAAACGAUGAAUACUAGAUGUUGGCUUCGCAUGAAGUCAGUAUCUGAGCUAACGCAUUAAGUAUUCCACCUGGAAGUACGAUCGCAAGGUUGAAACUUAAAUGAAUUGACGGGGUCAUAGC